This is a non-coding RNA of Panaeolus papilionaceus, 102 nucleotides long. NCBI's taxonomy places the organism in Eukaryota, Fungi, Basidiomycota, Agaricomycetes, Agaricales. The record is from the annotation of a GenBank genome assembly.
GCUCCCUUGGCUCAGCUGGUUAGAGGGCAGGUCUCACACUCGUAUGAGUAGUCAAUUGAUUACGUAAUCCUGAUAUCGCCUGUUCGAGCCAGGCAGGGAGCA